RNAcentral lists this unclassified non-coding RNA (382 nucleotides) under soil metagenome. RNAcentral describes it as "partial contains 5.8S ribosomal RNA, internal transcribed spacer 2, and large subunit ribosomal RNA". The stretch from base 1 to 120 matches the Rfam family "5.8S ribosomal RNA", at positions 35 to 154 of the family's 154-position model. The record is from RNAcentral.
GAUGAAGAACGCAGCGAAAUGCGAUAAGUAAUGUGAAUUGCAGAAUUCAGUGAAUCAUCGAAUCUUUGAACGCACAUUGCGCCCCUCGGCACUCCGGGGGGCAUGCCUGUCCGAGCGUCAUUGCACCCCUCGAGCCCCCCGUGGCUUGGUCGUGAGCCGCGCCCGCGCCAGCCCCGGCCCCCCCCGUGCAGCGGGGGGCAGGGGCGCCGGGCGGGCUCGAAACGCAGUGGCGGCCCCCGGGCGACUUCCAGCGCGAUGACAUGUUUCGCUGCCGAAGCCUUCGCCCCGGGCGCCCGCCAGGCAACCCCCGUGCUUCUUACGCGGUUGACCUCGGAUCAGGCAGGGAUACCCGCUGAACUUAAGCAUAUCAAUAAGCGGAGGA